UAGGGAAUCUUCCACAAUGGACGCAAGUCUGAUGGAGCAACGCCGCGUGAGUGAAGAAGGCUUUCGGGUCGUAAAACUCUGUUGUUGGAGAAGAAUGGUCGGCAGAGUAACUGUUGUCGGCGUGACGGUAUCCAACCAGAAAGCCACGGCUAACUACGUGCCAGCAGCCGCGGUAAUACGUAGGUGGCAAGCGUUAUCCGGAUUUAUUGGGCGUAAAGCGAGCGCAGGCGGUUUUUUAAGUCUGAUGUGAAAGCCCUCGGCUUAACCGAGGAAGUGCAUCGGAAACUGGAAAACUUGAGUGCAGAAGAGGACAGUGGAACUCCAUGUGUAGCGGUGAAAUGCGUAGAUAUAUGGAAGAACACCAGUGGCGAAGGCGGCUCUCUGGUCUGCAACUGACGCUGAGGCUCGAAAGCAUGGGUAGCGAACAGGAUUAGAUACCCUGGUAGUCCAUGCCGUAAACGAUGAGCGCUAGGUGUUGGGGACUUUCCGGUCCUCAGUGCCGCAGCAAACGCAUUAAGCGCUCCGCCUGGGGAGUACGACCGCAAGGUUGAA
Molecule: ribosomal RNA, 552 nt
Filed under: uncultured bacterium
Lineage: Bacteria
Description: partial 16S ribosomal RNA
Rfam family: Bacterial small subunit ribosomal RNA
Source: RNAcentral